Non-coding RNA from Dermacentor andersoni, 1927 nucleotides. Lineage: Eukaryota; Metazoa; Arthropoda; Arachnida; Ixodida; Ixodidae. The record is from RefSeq and is a predicted model, not a curated record.
CAGAUCCCUGCGAGCAUUUUCAAAAAAAAUUAUUUUAUACAACAAGGCACAUAUGCAAUACUGACAUAAUCUCAAAUACCACUGAGCAGCUGGGACACAUUCUUGUUGGCCAUACUCGCAGGUAAAAUAAGUAGAUCGUGUGGACAGCUCCAGCUCAUUUUCCUUUAAUCAGUGUGUACAAGGGGUAUGCAGUCAGUCAAGAACUUUAUUGAAGUCCUGAGGAGUUUCAAUCCGUUGCAGAUCCCACGCGGGGAACUCCUCCGGCAGAAACCGUAGGCGACGCCCAAGUCGGGACGGGAACGUGGUGACGCUCCGCCAGUUCUUGGGCCCUCUGGACGGCCUUGAGUUGGAGUUUGAGGUCCGGGCUUUUGAGGGCUUCUUCCCAUUCGGGCUCACUGGAGAGAGGGCUAAAAUAAUUUUUUUCUCGCGCACCGAUUAUUUUGCUGUAUAAGCAAGAGAACCCACCACGUUAGUGCAACGUAUCUUGUACAUCACACUAAUAUGUGCUUUAAUUUACCAAGUGAGAUGAGUUACUUUUAUGGCUCAUUCAGUCAUAUCACACUGCAAGCUGCAUUCAUCAAUCUUCAAUUGGAUUUAGCAAAUGUUUAAUGAAACAUGUUUCCCUUCUAUGCAGAUAUGCAAUGGCAAGCCCUUCCGUGUGUUCCAAAGGUAAAAUUUAAGCUCUAAAUUAAAGAAGACAUUUCUAGUCAGAGACAAGCAAAAUGGUGAAUGCAGGGUAUCAGAAGCCCAAGGUACAGAAAUUAUGAAAAGUGUCGAAUGAUUUUAAGGAAAGAGUCGUAUUUGAAACUGCAAGACUCUUUAGUGGAGGUCAAGCAAGUCAAUAUAGGUAGAAUACUCUGGAAAAUUAUGCGAGUGAGGGGAUGUCAAACAAUGGGUCAGGAAAUACGUUGGUUUUCUGCAAAACAAAAGCUGAUUGCCAUUACAUAAGUCACUUUAGCAUCAUGAGACUGCUGCUUGAUAAAUUCAGAAAUAAACCAAAAAACAAGACCCGCAAAAAUAAAAAACAAUUUAAUGAUGCUCUCUCCACACUGGGAUAAAUAAAAACAAACACAUCACAUCUAAUGUGGACAUAUCCGAUGCUUUGUAAAACACUAAAGGAAAAAUUCAGUUUCGAGCUAUGGCACUUGCCACAUAGAUGUGGGGGGCCUUGCACUAAUAGUGAUAGUUACCACUGCAUUUAGAAAUUGAAAGCAUUCAUGCAGACAAGGAUGAUUCUUUAUAUAUUUGGCUACCACUUCAAAUGCCUCCACCAAGUGUUACAAUGCUACACGCAGCCAUACUAAGGAUGUGGCAGCAACACCUGCAGUUAAAAAGCAGAAGCAGUCAAAGUGCUGGUGUAUUCUGGACACUAGCUUUGAAAACUUUUGGGCAAGGACAGUGCAAGAAGCAGACAUAACAACUGCAUUUAUUUCCAUAAUUCCCCAUUUGAAUGGGCUUUUCUUUUUGCUUAGACAAUGCUUACGCCUAGCCACAGCAGCUCCCUCAUACAGACUCCGCAAGCCAAGGGGCCGUGGAGGCAAAUGCAGACAGCCAGCACACCUCGAACAGCCACCUUGACUGCGGAUGUCACCCUAGUCGCCAAGGAAACAUUUGAGGGAAAGCGACAGGCAAUGUGAACAGCCACUUCUCCAUGUAAACGAUACUCUUUCUCUCGGAUGACUCCUACGCCUCGCCACGCCAGCACACUUGUGCACAAAGAUGCCGCGAAGGCACGUGCAGGUCAUAGGCAAGAAGCAGUGGCACUGGUGUCGACAUUCACCCAAUUUCUUUUUCUUACACUGAGGCAGCCAGCACACCUCGAACAGCCACCUUGACUGCGGGUGUGUCAGUAGAUUCCUGUUGUACAUAUGCUCAUAAUAAACUUCAGUAAACUUGAACUUGAUAAUAAACUUGAUGGCAAAUGGGA